Molecule: ribosomal RNA, 413 nt
Filed under: uncultured microorganism
Description: bacterial SSU rRNA
Rfam family: Archaeal small subunit ribosomal RNA
Source: RNAcentral
GUGCAGCAGGCGCGAAACCUCCUCAAUGCACUCACGUGCGAAGGGGUUACCUCGAGUGCCGCCUGAAGAAGGCGGCUUUUCCAUGGUCUAAAAAGCCUAGGGAAUAAGAGGGGGGCAAGACUGGUGUCAGCCGCCGCGGUAACACCAGCCCCUCGAGUGGUGGGGAUGAUUAUUUGGCCUAAAGCGUCCGUAGCCGGCCGGGUAAGUCUCCCGUUAAAUCCAGCGUCUCAAGCGUUGGACUGCGGGAGAUACUGUCUGGCUAGAGAGUGGGAGAGGUGUACGGUAUUCUGGGGGUAGGGGCGAAAUCCUUUGAUCCCCGGAGGACCACCAGUGGCGAAGGCUGUACACUAGAACACGUCUGACGGUCAGGGACGAAAGCUGGGGUAGCGAACCGGAUUAGAUACCCGUGUAGU